CCUACGGGUGGCAGCAGUGAGGAAUAUUGGUCAAUGGCCGGAAGGCUGAACCAGCCAUGCCGCGUGAAGGUCAGUGCCCUAUGGGCGUUAAACUUCUUUUGUGCGGGAGCAAUAAUGGUCACGUGUGGCCAGACGAGAGUACCGUACGAAUAAGCAUCGGCUAACUCCGUGCCAGCAGCCGCGGUAAUACGGGGGAUGCAAGCGUUAUCCGGAUUUAUUGGGUUUAAAGGGUGCGUAGGCUGUGAGGUAAGUCAGCGGUGAAAUGCCCCCGCUCAACGGGGUGAAGUGCCAUUGAUACUGCCUUGCGGGAGUGCGGAUGCGGUGGGAGGAAUGUGUGGUGUAGCGGUGAAAUGCAUAGAUAUCACACAGAACACCGAUUGAGAAGGCAUCUCACGAAUCCGCGAUUGACGCGGAUGCACGAAAGCGUGGGUAGCAAACAGGAUGAGAUACCCGAGUAGUC
Molecule: ribosomal RNA, 460 nt
Filed under: uncultured bacterium
Lineage: Bacteria
Description: partial 16S ribosomal RNA
Rfam family: Bacterial small subunit ribosomal RNA
Source: RNAcentral